AGUGAACGCUGGCGGUAGGCCUAACACAUGCAAGUCGAACGGCAGCACAGUAAGAGCUUGCUCUUACGGGUGGCGAGUGGCGGACGGGUGAGGAAUGCAUCGGAAUCUACUUUUUCGUGGGGGCUAACGUAGGGAAACUUACGCUAAUACCGCAUACGACCUACGGGUGAAAGCAGGGGAUCUUCGGACCUUGCGCGAUUGAAUGAGCCGAUGUCGGCUUAGCUAGUUGGCGGGGUAAAGGCCCACCAAGGCGACGAUCCGUAGCUGGUAUGAGAGGAUGAUCAGCCACACUGGAACAGAGACACGGCCCAGACACCUACGGGAGGCAGCAGUGGGGAAUAUUGGACAAGGGGCGCAAGGCGGAUCCAGCCAUACCGCGUGGGUGAAGAAGGCCUUCGGGUUGUAAAGCCCUUUUGUUGGGAAAGAAAAGCAGCAGGUUAAUACCCCGCUGUUCUGACGGUACCCAAAGAAUAAGCACCGGCUAACUUCGUG
Molecule: ribosomal RNA, 492 nt
Filed under: uncultured bacterium
Lineage: Bacteria
Description: partial 16S ribosomal RNA
Rfam family: Bacterial small subunit ribosomal RNA
Source: RNAcentral